GACGAACGCUGGCGGCGUGCCUAAUACAUGCAAGUCGAACGCUUCUUUUUCCACCGGAGCUUGCUCCACCGGAAAAAGAGGAGUGGCGAACGGGUGAGUAACACGUGGGUAACCUGCCCAUCAGAAGGGGAUAACACUUGGAAACAGGUGCUAAUACCGUAUAACAAUCGAAACCGCAUGGUUUUGAUUUGAAAGGCGCUUUCGGGUGUCGCGGAUGUAUGGACCCGCGGUGCAUUAGCUAGUUGGUGAGGUAACGGCUCACCAAGGCCACGAUGCAUAGCCGACCUGAGAGGGUGAUCGGCCACAUUGGGACUGAGACACGGCCCAAACUCCUACGGGAGGCAGCAGUAGGGAAUCUUCGGCAAUGGACGAAAGUCUGACCGAGCAACGCCGCGUGAGUGAAGAAGGUUUUCGGAUCGUAAAACUCUGCUGUUAGAGAAGAACAAGGAUGAGAGUAACUGUUCAUCCCUUGACGGUAUCUAACCAGAAAGCCACGGCUAACUACGUGCCAGCCGCCGCAGUAA
Molecule: ribosomal RNA, 524 nt
Filed under: uncultured bacterium
Lineage: Bacteria
Description: partial 16S ribosomal RNA
Rfam family: Bacterial small subunit ribosomal RNA
Source: RNAcentral